GUAACACAGGUAAGUGCAGGAGAGCGAGAGCGUGAAGGCGAAGAGCAGCCUGCGCGCCCUCCGCGGCUGAGGUGGCCCCGCGCGGCCCAGGACCCUAUAGGCCAUGGCUCCAUGGGCCCGCGCCGGGGGUCAUGGUUUCCGAGGGGGCACCGGCGGCUGAGCUGCUGUGGCCCUGCGGUCGCCUAGAGGGCUCGCGUGGCGCUGCCACGGCCACGCGGGUCGGGCGUUGGGGGCGCCGUCUUCUCCGGGGGCUGCUGACCAGGGUGCGCACAGUGCCAGGGGGUCCCGGGGGCAGCGGCUCCUCGGGGAACAGGCGGUUGCAUUUCCAGCAUCUCCCGGUCCUAGGCGAUGGGGCUCCGGGCAGCCGGGCGGCUCGGGCGCUCCCAGGCUCUUACGUGCGCCGGGUUCGGAGCGCGCCCAGCGCCCGAAGCCCCAUUCCUGAUCCUCGGAGCGCCGCUCACGAAACGCUCGGCGGCGGCGCGGCUGUGCGGGCUGGCGGGUGGACCGGACGGUGGCGCUGGCGCCGGCCGCGAUCUGGCUCUUCGGGAAAUGCCGAGCGGAGCGCGCUGCCGGCUCUAUUUAAGGAGUGGCCUGACGUCAGCCGCGCGGGUCCCCCGAGCCCGCGCCGCGCCCAGGGACCUGGCCCGCCCCCUGCGCCCCCACUCUCUUACCCCUCCCAGAAACACAGCACGCGGGCCCUCCCCAUGCAGGCCACUCCCUACGGAGCCCCAGGCCAGCUUUGGGGCGGUGAAACGAAGGUGUCAAGGCAUAGUACUCCUCCGGGAGGCUGGACACCCCCACCACGCUGGCCUCUCGACAUCCAGGGACACGAAUCCAGGUCGAGAUCGCGCCGACAUGCAGACCAGACAGACCCAGACGCAGACGCAGGCACCCUGCCCUGAUGCGCGGUCCCACCACCCUGACCCGCACACGCACGCACAGGCACAGAAGCACACGCGCCCUAGCCCGGACACACCCCCACACCCACGCGGGGGUGGGGAGGAGAAGUCCCCUAACCUGGGCCCAGAUACACCGACAAGGACACUCCCCCCGCUCUCGACAUCUCGCCAAAUGGACACACACAGCCCGGAAUCGGACACCGAGCGCACGCACGCCCUGGACUGGGACACGCGCUGUAGACGGGAUGGGUGGAGGAGCCGAGCAGACACUAGGAGGAGGAAACAGAGUACAAGGAGAACGUAUCCAGGAGCAAUUCCACUUCGAAUGAUUCCUAAGUGAAUGCCUACAGGACAGUUCUCGGUGACCAUGUCCAGAACAGGCAUAAGUGACGAUCCCCAGUACUUCCCUGAGGGACCACACUGGUACCUUGGAUCAGAACCCUGCAUCAGAACAGGCCUAAAUGGCCAUGGCUAAGAACACGGCUGAGUUGUCCUUCAACAGCAAUGCCAAUGCCAAUUCACCAUGUCCGAGUGUUCACAAGGCUCCUCUCCUGGAUGUAAGCUAAUUUGUCUAUGUCUCUUCUAAAAUCUCACACCUGGGACUGCGCGAGGAAUUUCAGAUAUGGAUUGAAAAGUUCAACAGGACUCUCACCUCUCUUUUCUUCAAGAGAUGCUUCAAAAUGCAGUCUUGAUUCUGGAUGGCUGUAUGCCUGGCUAACACUUUGAGAUUUUGGUAUCAAGAAAGAACUAAAGAAUGGUUAUGGAGGACAACUAGUAAUCCUUGCCAUCCUUGGACAAACAGUUUUCCCUCUUUUAUUCCCAUGUGGUUUGUAUGGGUUGAACAUAGUUCAAAGACAGGCAUAUGACCAAGCCUGACAUCAUCACUUUCUAAUUAUAUUUCAAGAACUGAAAGUAACUCAAAUCUUUCUAGUGAGAAUAAACCACACAACAUUUGUGAAAACUAUUGGAAAAGAGAAACUUCUUUUUCUGAGAUGAUGAAUUAAUCUAAAAUAAGCCUGAAGCUUCCAAUGGUCAUCUCUGCUAUCAAGAGGAGAAACCAACAAUAAAGCCAACAAAGAGGAGAGCAGAACUGAUGGAGGGAGAAUUAGAUUCCUGAUAAUAUCCUUUGAACCUCUGAAUCUAGCCAUGCGGAAUGCAUGGACCCUGGACUUUAUUGCUGCAGUGAUUAGCUAUCUUUCUGUUAGCACUUGCAACUGAAAGAGUGCUGACCAAUACAACAAACAAACAAAAAGAGUUGCUCCCUCCGUUGCAAGGAAUAGAUACCAUUUUAAUAAAAAGUGUUGGAGGUGGGGGGGCUUAUUUUGAAGGAUAUGCAUGUAUCAGGACUGCAACCCUUCCAAAUUUGAGACAGUCAUAGGAUCCAGUUACUUUCUUCAACUUCUCUACUUUUCUUGUAUCUUAUUUAUUUUGCUUCUCAUUCUUAACUGCCAUUGCUCUUUAUUUAUGAAACAGUAAGGGUUACUAGAAGUGAAAAAAAGAGAUUUGGGAUAUCUUACACAGGAAAGGAACUUUGGGGUAGCUCACAAAAUUAAGAAGAAGGCUGGAGAACUGGGCUCAAAUAGAAUAGCAACCAAAGAGCACAUUACACUCUCUUUCUUUUCUUUUUCUGAGUCCAUUUCUCUUUCACAUUAGCAUUCUCUUGAAUCUUCCUUCCCACUCUAAUGCCCUGCAUUCAAGACUUUGAAUUUAAAAUCAUAAAAUAGGAAAUUUUCUUCCCCUUCAGUCUUUGGGCCUAAUCAAGCCUUGUUAUUCAGUUUUAUUUCAGUGUGUAAGCUUCAAAUCUGUUCCCUAAAGCAGAGUUUUGCAAAAAUGUGAGAAAAUGUCCCAAAGAGGGUGACUCCUAUGAGGCAAAGGACAGUGAAGUGGAGCCACAUGGUCUGCAGGGUCUGUGAGGUACAAAGUUUGCAUCUGAAUCAGAGGAUGUGCAUAUAUCUGCUACAUUUAGGAAAGAGGUUGAGAGCGAGAAUGAGAGAUUUCAGUUGUGCUUCAUUCUUUGGAUAAAAUCAGAGGGUAAAAGCUCAAGGGGCUUCCAGAUACUGCCUGUAGAAAUGAUCCAAAUCUAGAAGACCGGAGACCUGGUUGAUUUUUAAGAACUCUAUAAGAUUCCAAACGCUUUGUUAUUCUCCAUGUAGGUGACUUCUGUUUUUGCCAGAAAUAAUAGGUACCAUUUAUUGAGCAUUUACUCGCAUCAUGGACUGGUGCAUUUAGAUGCAUUACUUAAUUUAAUAGUCUCAAUAAACCAAUAAAGUAGGCAUUAUUAUUAUUAUCCCUAUUUUAUAAAUAAGGAAAGUCUCAAGUAGGUUGAAUUUUCCAUGUUCUACAGAUGUUACAGGCUGAGGGAGGGGGAAAUUAGUUCAAAAAAAGCAUUAAUGUGGAGAUCCAGGAUCAGGUUUACUCAUCUUAUAAUCUUCUUGUGGGUCAGUACUGUUUAGCACCUCCACCUCUUAUCCUGCAUUAUUUAAACCACACUAUCUUAUCUCACCCAACCUUACCAUCUUGUCUUCUUCAUGCAACUGUGAACUCCUUGGGGACAGGGACAAAAUGACAAGUUCCAACUCAGUCUAGCUCUUGGAAUUUGGGCUUCAUAUUCAUGUUGGGACUCCUCCCUUGGUUUCUUUAUCCCCUUCUCCUUCUUCGAUGGACCACUAACUAUUACCCACGUUGGGGCUUCCAAGGAAGAACUAACAUUUCAUUUCCAAAUAUAUCCAGCAUGGAUUAUUUGUAAUGGCAAAGAUGAUACUAAGCCUGUUCACUUGCACAAUAAUACAGUAGGGCUGACCUAGUAAUGCACCCUCUCCCCUAAUUUUCCUUUUAUCUGGAAGCAGAUAAAAAUGACACUACUGAACCAGAGGUGAGCACAAUUGUCAUCAAUUUUCUAAAAAACAGACCUUAAUGGUAUAGGAUGGAAUGAAUGGAAGAAUAUCUAGCUAUAGAGAACAAUAUAGGGAGAUAUCUUUAUUGUUUUGUACUGAUUUUUUUGUUUCCCUUUAACAUUUUUGUUAUAUAGGUAAUAUAUCUUCAGUGUAGAAACAAUGAAAAUACUGAGAAGAAAAAAGAAAAAAGGUCCUCUAAAUCAUAACACCCAGAAAUAACUAUUGCUAAUAUUUUAUUUACAUCCUUCCAAUUAUAAAUGUAUUUGUAUGUUUGUUUGCUUAUGGCUCAGCCCAUACCUACUGUUUUGUAAAGUUUUGAUUUUUUUCAGCUUUGUAAUAGUGUGACUCUAUUCCAUGCCAUUAAACACAGACUUAUGUAAUAAUGAGCCUAGUACUUUUAGAAAGAGAAAAUAACUUUAUACUGAAAAUGCUAGAUGUAAGGAUGGUGUGAGUCUGCAGCUACCACGAAUGGAGAAAAUCUAACCUGCAUGUGCAUUAACUCAGUACAGAAGUAAGCAGAGUGACAGUGAAAGGCUGUCUUGAAAUAAUGCUUGAAUCCCUGGAUCCAGUUUUGCCUAAAGCUCUCUCUUUAAGAGUCAGUAAAGCAUAGUGGUUAGGAGUGCAGUCUCUGGAAGCAGACUGCCUCGGUUCAAAUCUUGGCUCUGCUGCUAGGAUUUAACAGGGUAAUAAAUGUCAUUCACUUAGAACACAGUCUGGCUAACAAUAGGCCCUCAAUAAACAUUAGCCAUUAUCAUGCUGAA
Molecule: long non-coding RNA, 4554 nt
Organism: Homo sapiens (human)
Lineage: Eukaryota; Metazoa; Chordata; Mammalia; Primates; Hominidae
Product: collagen alpha-1(XVI) chain
Exons: 4
Source: RefSeq, a predicted model, not a curated record